Molecule: long non-coding RNA, 322 nt
Organism: Aethina tumida (small hive beetle)
Lineage: Eukaryota; Metazoa; Arthropoda; Insecta; Coleoptera; Nitidulidae
Exons: 2
Source: RefSeq, a predicted model, not a curated record
AUUAAUUUAAAAUUGCGGGAAUAUAAUGAACUGCGUUCCAAAACAAAUGAGUUGUCAACGAAGAUUAGUGAACGCCAAGUAAAUAAUUUUACAAAAUGUUCGAUACCGGUGAUACCUUGGCUCUACUUAUAGGCCUAAUUAUCACAACUUUAGGUGUGUUGGCCUGUUUGGGAGCAUAUGCCAGGAGAAAAGCUUUAACAGAACCAAUAUGAUUUCAUAAUCUUUUGUUUAUAGGUUAAGACUUAACAAUUAUGGAACACUCCAAUAUUAUUUUGUAAUAUAAAUAUCAAUAAAAUUACUCAAAUAAAUGACUAUUUACUUA